Molecule: ribosomal RNA, 468 nt
Filed under: uncultured bacterium
Lineage: Bacteria
Description: partial 16S ribosomal RNA
Rfam family: Bacterial small subunit ribosomal RNA
Source: RNAcentral
GACGAACGCUGGCGGCGUGCUUAACACAUGCAAGUCGAACGGAAAGGCCCUGCUUUUGUGGGGUGCUCGAGUGGCGAACGGGUGAGUAACACGUGAGUAACCUGCCCUUGACUUUGGGAUAACUUCAGGAAACUGGGGCUAAUACCGGAUAGGAGCUCCUGCUGCAUGGUGGGGGUUGGAAAGUUUCGGCGGUUGGGGAUGGACUCGCGGCUUAUCAGCUUGUUGGUGGGGUAGUGGCUUACCAAGGCUUUGACGGGUAGCCGGCCUGAGAGGGUGACCGGCCACAUUGGGACUGAGAUACGGCCCAGACUCCUACGGGAGGCAGCAGUGGGGAAUAUUGCACAAUGGGCGGAAGCCUGAUGCAGCAACGCCGCGUACGGGAUGACGGCCUUCGGGUGGUAAACCGCUUUCGCCUGUGACGAAGCGUGAGUGACGGUAAUGGGUAAAGAAGCACCGGCUAACUACGUG